CUUGCAUGCUCAUGUGAAUACCAUGCUGAAUGUGUAUUUUGUGUUGCAGGUUGUCACAUAAAGUUGUAAGGUAUUAUAAAUAAGUAGCUUAGACACAGAGAUGCAUAUUAUGAAGAGCAAGUAGGAGCAAUGAUUGACCAAAUGCUUCAACAGGUCCAUGUGCUUUGAGAAGGGUUGUAGCUCCUGUCAAAAUGACAUUUCAAAUCUAAGUGACUUAGGUUAUUGUUUGGGCAGAUAUGCAACCUGUGUAAUACCAGUAAGUGCCUUCUAUGGUUUAAGUCUUCGGUAAUGCUGAAAUAUAGUAAUAAUUGGACUUAGAUUUGAGUAAUAUUGGGCUUGAAGUGCAAAACAGAUGCCAUGUUACGCCUCUAGUACAAGACUUAAGUAAUUUGGUCAAUCACCAAUUCCUAGUUAUUACUUAUUACUUUAUAUCUUUUAGCAAGGAACCUUGUGAAAGUACUAGUAUCUUGCUUAGAGGAGUCUGCAAAAUAUUCUGGCAGCUAUUAUCACUGCAGUUCUCCCUUGGUCAUUUCAAAGAAAAGGUACAUGCUAACUGCUAUGUUAGCAGAAUGUUUUUAAUGGCUACACGAAUG
Molecule: long non-coding RNA, 593 nt
Organism: Rosa chinensis
Lineage: Eukaryota; Viridiplantae; Streptophyta; Magnoliopsida; Rosales; Rosaceae
Exons: 3
Source: RefSeq, a predicted model, not a curated record